RNAcentral lists this long non-coding RNA (460 nucleotides) under Pan troglodytes (chimpanzee). RNAcentral's name for it is "long non-coding RNA NONPTRT010111". Lineage: Eukaryota; Metazoa; Chordata; Mammalia; Primates; Hominidae. The record is from RNAcentral.
GAUUGCUGGAUUGAACGGUAGCUCUAUUUUCUUUGAGAAAUCUCCAAACUGCUUUCCACAGUGGCUGAACUAAUUUACAUUCCCACCAACAUUGUACAAACAUUCCUUUUCCUCUGCAGCCUUGCUGGAAUCUCUUGUGUUUUUUUUUUUUUGUUAACGUGGUCAUUUGAUUUUUGCUUGUUGAAUUGUUUAAGUUUCUUAUAAAUUCUGGAUACUACAACUUUGUCAGAUGCACAGUUUGUGAAUAUUUUCUCUAAUUCUGUAGAUUGUUUUCCUUUGUGUUUAAUUGAUUUUUGGUUUCCCUUCUCAUUUCCUUUGUGUACAUUCUAUAGAUAUUUUCUUUGUGGUUACCACGGGUAUUACAUAUAAUAUUUUAGGCUUAUAAUAACCUGUUUUAAUCAGAUAGUCACUUAAAUUCAAUCACAUACAAAAAGUUUACUCGUUCACAACUUUGCCCUCC